ACUUUUGAUAUUGAUUAAGCUCAUGAACUCUCCCAACUUUUGUAUUUUGAAUAUGCUCAUGCCCUAUCUUAUGUCUCCUCUAUGAACCACUUUUUUAAAAAAUUAUUUUCAUUAUGAUACUAAUGUAUAAGCAGAAGUAAAUUUCUUUAAUAUUUUUGCAACCAGGAUGUGGCAACCUAGGUGAUUCUUGGAUUGGUUAUUUGCACAUUUUUCCGAGUUUGCUUGUUGUUUUUCUCUUUGUUCCAACAAUUCCCACAUGAGAACAAUGUAAUUUUAACAAAGAAAGAUACCACUGAAGUACAACAAAACAUGAAUUCCAAUAUACUAGAGAACUUUUAUUUUUUGGCCUUUCAUAUAUUAGAGUUAUGUUUUUGUUAUCUUAUAGUGGCAUAUUUACAUUUUAACUAAAUGAGAAUAUACUCAUUAGAGAAUUAUUAAUAAGAGAGUAGUAGACAAAUGAUACUCGACUAUGUUGUUUCAGUAUUAAUGACACAUUCAAUCCAGUGAUGAUCGGGAGCCAACUCUAACCCCACAUGAAAGCAAACAAAAGUUGAAAUACUUUGGCUAAUACCUUUAAAGUUUGAAUUAAUAAUAAAAUUGUCCUAGAAAACUGCCUUAAUGAAAUUAAAGUGAGAUUUAUUGAUAGGGUGCAUAAAUAUCAUUUUUCAGAAAAAAAAAAUAUAGUCAAAGUAUGAAAGCUUUGUUCUGCAAGUGGUUGCAAUUGCUGUACAUUAAUAUCAAAGAUACGUUAAGUACAUACCAAAUUCUAUUGUAAAAUUUAUAAAUUUAUAAGUAGAAGAUUUUAUAAAUUAAUUCUGGGUAAAUCCUCGGUUGUAUGAAUAAAUGGAGUAGGGAAAGCUGUAAUAAUUAUCGUAAUUACUGUAAGAAGCUAGCUCAUCAUCGAGUUGUAAGAUUUUCAAUUUUCUUGAACACGCUUUGACGUGCGAUAGCAAAAAAUUCUGUCUAUGAGCAAUCGGCCGUGCAACAUCUUAAUACUCCAUUGACUUUGUAAUUAAUUGAUGAGCUUUUUCUAAUUCUAUGUACCAAAUGGAGAUAUUUAGUGGGCGACCGCCAACCCUCGCUUAGCAAAAUAAAGGAAAGAAGAACGUGAAAUUUAUAAAUGUUACUUUUUGUUUAGAUGAAUAAUUUUGAUAUAAUGUUUCAGUUUCAGAUAUUGUUAACUAUAUCUAAUCAUAAGUAAUAAAAAAUAGGGAGAUUGUCAAUUUCUCCCCCUACAGUAAUCAACAUAUACUAUUUCCCCCCCUAUUAUUUUUAUAAUGGCCAAAAAUCUCCUUGAUAGCAUAAGUUUAUAAUAUUACCCUUAUUUUCAACUACUCUUUUAUUU
Molecule: long non-coding RNA, 1345 nt
Filed under: Citrus x clementina
Lineage: Eukaryota; Viridiplantae; Streptophyta; Magnoliopsida; Sapindales; Rutaceae
Description: Citrus clementina (C. clementina) long non-coding RNA (CCLE_LNC005800)
Source: RNAcentral